UAGCAAAGACUCAAGCCAGC
This 20-nucleotide non-coding RNA is filed under the name Mus musculus (house mouse). Lineage: Eukaryota; Metazoa; Chordata; Mammalia; Rodentia; Muridae. The record is from RNAcentral.